AGCUCCUGCCGCCGCCGCAGCCGCUGCCGCCGCAGCGAAGAGGCCAUGUUGUGUGGUGUGUGGGGCGGGGGGAGGAGGAGGAGGGAGUAAAGCCUAGAGAGGAGACGGGAGAGAGACACCACACACACGGCACAAGAUGGCCGGAGAGGCAGCAGCACCCCGAGCUGUCAGGCGUUCCGCCGCGGCCGCGAGGCCCGCCGGCCGGCGGGGAGCUACGCCCGGACGGCCAGCAGGCCCGCGGGAGUGGGGCUGCCGCGGCUGAGGCGAGGCGGGCCGCGCGCGUCGGCGUCACAGCCCGCGGCAGAGGCGCCCAGGGCGGCCGGGCCCACGACGCCGAAAGCGCCGCUGCGGUUGCCGCCUCGGAGGCUCCCCCGGGCCCCGGCGGCUGGACCCGGCGCGGGCGGGAGGCUCGGGCGGGCGGUCCGGCCCGGGACUCGGGUUUGGGCGACCAGGAGGUGCCGGUGGCCGCGCUCGGACCCGGUGACUUAAGAGAUUAAAAUUAAUUUGGUUGCUGUUGGUUCUGAACAAAUAAUGAGUUCUUUUAUUUGAGGUAUGCCAUUUUGAAGACUGAGACGUUGGAGUUUUAUCCUAGAGGAUAAAGGAAAUCUUUGGGAAAGUCAGUAUUUUAUAUAGCAAAAAUAUGAACCUCAAACUGAAUCCUCUAAAGGCCCCAUACAAUGAAGUAGACAUUGGUGGAAACAUUUACACCCAGUCAGCUUGAAGAGUUUCAAAUGGACCCUACCACUGAGAAAUCAAGAUGGCAGUCUACUAUGGGGAAUUGAGGAAAAAUGGAUUAAUACAAGAGUCCUGUGAUAAUAUACAACCAAGACAGGGUUCUUUUAACAUGGAUUCCAUGCAGUGAAUGAAGACAUAGGUUUCUUACCCAACACAAAUGGACAGUGGAUUUGACUUUCUAAAGACUUUUUUUGUGGACAUUUUGACAUUUGGAGAAGAAAGAUGGCACACUAACCCAGAUAAUAGUUUUUAUGCCUGGAAUUUUUUGCAGUUUGAUUUGUAUGCGUAUGACCUCUUGAAAUGUUAAUUUUUAAUAAAAUUUGUAACACUUAAAAAUUUCUCAGUUUGGGUUUUUUUUUUUAAGUGGAAGUUUAAUUAAAUGUUUAGUUUUAUUUUAGUAAUACUUUGGCCUUUGUAGUUGCCGAGUGGUAAAGUGUACUGAAUAUGAAUAAAGCUGGUAAAUUGGAAAUGGUGUAAUCGAAAACAUUUUACUUGGUUUAUGAAGAUUUACGUUUUUCACAAAGUUGUGCUCUUAGAUGGUCAUUUGGUUUAAAUACUGUUUUGUUUGUGCUUUCAUGAAACACCUUUCAAAACAACUCAAUGGGUAAUAAUAGAAUCUGAUUUUAAUCUGCCACAAGAUUUUAAUGAACUUGAAACAAACUGCUUGUUGCUCGAAAAUUCAGGAUGAGUGAUACACAUAUACUUCUGAAUUAUUUUGUGUUGAUUGAAAUGGUUUCUUAAGCUUUUUAAUACUAUAAAUACAUCUUGCUAUAGAAUAUUCAUCUGAAUAUUUAAAUUAAUGUCUCCUAUUGUCUUACUAUUAGAGGAAGAAGUGUUGGAUUUAUGGGUUAGGGUCCUUGGAGUAUUCACAAUUUUUUAAAUUUGAAAUUAUGUGUGUAAUCCAUUUUAUAUAACUUUGAAGUAGGAUUAAUAUCUUGUAUCGUCUUUAUUUUGUACAAUUGGGGAUUUAGAAUAAAUGAAUUGCACCCUGC
RNAcentral lists this long non-coding RNA (1727 nucleotides) under Homo sapiens (human). Its description in RNAcentral is "non-protein coding LINC01578:1". Lineage: Eukaryota; Metazoa; Chordata; Mammalia; Primates; Hominidae. The record is from RNAcentral.